CACAGCUGAGCCCUCGGAGGCCGGCGGGCUGGCGCCCCGUGGCGGAGCGAGCUGAAGCUGCAGCCUGGGAUCCGACGAAUCGCUAGGUGAGCUGCGGCCGAACCGUUAGGAGGAAAUACGGGCCGAGAAUUGCAAGCCUGGUUCUUGAUCAUCUCCUGAAAUUGUCAAUGAGUAGGUCACCGAGUACCUGCUGAAUUUAAGAAGUAUAAUCAGUGAUGUGAUUAAAAAAAUAAGAAAUUUGUAAUUCAUAUAAAAGGAAAAUUUGCUUAAACUUCUGAAAGCAAGUCCAGUCUGGUGGAGGUGUGUUGGACAUUAAAAGAAGACUCAGAUUCUUUCUUAAAGAUUUCAGACUACAGGCCGCUGGAUUUUUAUACCAAGAUAUUACCUGGAGAAAAUACUUGCAGCCAAGCUCUGGCUUCCUCAAAACCCUUCAGGAGCCAUCUGGGGUAUCCCGACACAUAGAGGUAGACAGACCACCAAGCUGAAGCUUCUCAUGUCUACAUUCAAAAUGUCUACAUUCUCAAAAUGUCUACAUUUCAAAGCUUUCUUGGGUAUAUUUUUAAUAAAAUAAUGUGAAACUAUUUAAAAUCAUAAUUCAAAAUCAUGAAACAUUGUAACUCUUAAAUUAGGAAGAAAACGGUUGUUAAAUACAUUUUGGAAAGAUACUAAUGUUUGUCAGCACACGAGAGGAAAAUACGAGCAUCUGCGUGGCACCCUAAUAGAUCUCGGGCUCUGCUUCUGGACCCGUUAUUUGGAGUACUCCUUAUAUCUAAUUUCUCUAACAAAAUCCAAAUUUUCAUAGUUACCGUAGUGUUUUUAAACUUUUGUAACUUUUCCUGUACAACCUCAGUGAUCUGAGCUGUCCUGGGAGCAGGCCGUGCUGAACAUGUGACUGUCGAGGAUUUGUCCAGUUAAGUACCAGUACGUUAAAGAAGGGCACAGUUGUUCUGGAUAGAAACCUGCAGUACACAGUGUACCUAAGGAGGUGGUUUUCCUUCCCGCUGGACCAGAAUGUCCCACAUUUCAUUGUCAUGAGCACUAAUUACUGGGGUUUAGCUGCAGCGCCCUCAGACCUGCUGCCUCAGCAGGGGCCUUCUGCAGCCAGUGGCUGUGUGGUUCUCCCUGCUUUGCAAGUUUCCCGUUACCUCCUUUAUUCUUAGUCUGUUAUCAGGUACUUCUAGUGGCAAGUACCACUUCUACUAAAGUGCUGCUCAUAAUCUAUUGUAGACUUGGAAACCCUUGAAACUACGCUUGUGAGGUGUAAAAAUAGUGUGACUAGUGGGAGAGGGGAAGGGCUGGAGGGCUCUCCUACAAGGAGACUGUGACCUUCAGAACUGAAAUUGUAUUUGGUCUGUGCAGUAAUGACUCUGCUUGCUUGAUUCAUGACUAGGUUCCCAACUGGCAGAGUUGCCAGAUGUGUGUGGUUCUGGGUCUGAGAAUGAAUUAAGCUGAAUGUUCACUGACACAGAUAACAGUGCACACUUUUAAAUUUUAUCAUAAUUUUAUCAAAUCUUCUUAUAAUAAGGCACACUGGCACCCAAGUAAUACUGAACAUGAGACAUCUUUCUACUAUCGUUCAGAAGAUUUCUAAGGGUGAAAUUCACACAACAUAGAAUUAACCAUUUUAGUGGCAUUUAGUCCUCGUUAUGCAACCACCACCUCUAUCUAGUUCCAAAAUAUUUUCAUCAUACCAGAAGGAAACUCCAUACCCAUUAAGUAGGUACCCCUUAAUCACCCUUCCCUCCAGCCCCUGGCAACCACCACUCUACUGCCCAUCUCUAUGGAUUUACCUAUUCUGGAUAUUUCACAUAAAUGGCGUCAUGCAACAUGUGACACUUUGUAUUUCGCUUCUUAGUGUAAUGUUCAUCCACCUGGUAGCAUGUCUCAGUAAGUACUGCAUUCCUUUUUAUGGCUGAAUCAUAUUCCAUUGUAUGGAUAGACCACAUUUUGUUUAUUCAUCUGCUAAUAGACAUUUGGGUUGUUCCAAUAAAUGUUAUUUUUCAUUAAUUAUUUCUCAGGGGAAUAUGAUCUCUUACACAAAGCACACAUAUUCUGAAAUCUUUCAGAAUCUUCAUCUCUUUUUAAAAAGACACAGUGUUCCCAUUCCUCACACUAAGUGAAAUUGAGGAAUUGUGAAAGCUUAAGGCCCAGAAGCUUACUGUUCCACAUUUUAUUAAGUGUUUUAGAUAUCAAUAAGGAUAAGAGAGACUCCUCAGCCAACUUUUUCAACAUGGCCAUCUACAGCUGGUCUUAUCAACAGAAAUAUUACAGAUAAGGUCCACUCAAAAACAAAAGUCCCGUCACCAAUAAAUUGUAACAUAUUUACACACAAGUAAGACUUAGGACCUGUAGUAGAAAAUACUCUGACUUAAUAUAAUUACUGGAGAAUCACUAC
Rhinolophus ferrumequinum (greater horseshoe bat) is the source of this 2395-nucleotide long non-coding RNA. RefSeq lists it as uncharacterized. The record is from RefSeq and is a predicted model, not a curated record. The transcript has 4 exons. NCBI's taxonomy places the organism in Eukaryota, Metazoa, Chordata, Mammalia, Chiroptera, Rhinolophidae.